GAUGAACGCUGGCGGCGUGCCUAAUACAUGCAAGUCGAGCGAACAGACGAGGAGCUUGCUCCUCUGACGUUAGCGGCGGACGGGUGAGUAACACGUGGAUAACCUACCUAUAAGACUGGGAUAACUUCGGGAAACCGGAGCUAAUACCGGAUAAUAUAUUGAACCGCAUGGUUCAAUAGUGAAAGACGGUUUUGCUGUCACUUAUAGAUGGAUCCGCGCCGCAUUAGCUAGUUGGUAAGGUAACGGCUUACCAAGGCAACGAUGGGUAGCCGAACUGAGAGGGUGAUCGGCCACACUGGAACUGAGACACGGUCCAGACUCCUACGGGAGGCAGCAGUAGGGAAUCUUCCGCAAUGGGCGAAAGCCUGACGGAGCAACGCCGCGUGAGUGAUGAAGGUCUUCGGAUCGUAAAACUCUGUUAUUAGGGAAGAACAAAUGUGUAAGUAACUAUGCACGUCUUGACGGUACCUAAUCAGAAAGCCACGGCUAACUACGUG
Molecule: ribosomal RNA, 497 nt
Filed under: uncultured bacterium
Lineage: Bacteria
Description: partial 16S ribosomal RNA
Rfam family: Bacterial small subunit ribosomal RNA
Source: RNAcentral